This 118-nucleotide ribosomal RNA is filed under the name Mesocricetus auratus (golden hamster). The record is from RNAcentral. Lineage: Eukaryota; Metazoa; Chordata; Mammalia; Rodentia; Cricetidae.
AGUCUACGGCAUACACAGCCUGAAAGCACCCAAUCUUGUCUGAUCUCGGAAGCUAAGCAGGGUCGGGCCUGGUUUGUCCUUGGAUGGGAAAAGAGUGAGCAAGAAGGCCCAUGGGUAA